This 488-nucleotide ribosomal RNA is filed under the name uncultured bacterium. Its description in RNAcentral is "partial 16S ribosomal RNA". It matches the Rfam family "Bacterial small subunit ribosomal RNA", at positions 28 to 507 of the family's 1533-position model. The record is from RNAcentral.
GAUGAACGCUAGCUACAGGCUUAACACAUGCAAGUCGAGGGGCAGCAUGAUUGAAGCUUGCUUCAAUCGAUGGCGACCGGCGCACGGGUGAGUAACACGUAUCCAACCUGCCGAUAACUCGGGGAUAGCCUUUCGAAAGAAAGAUUAAUACCCGAUAGUAUAGUAUUUCCGCAUGGUUUCACUAUUAAAGAACUUCGGUUAUCGAUGGGGAUGCGUUCCAUUAGAUAGUUGGCGGGGUAACGGCCCACCAAGUCAACGAUGGAUAGGGGUUCUGAGAGGAAGGUCCCCACAUUGGAACUGAGACACGGUCCAAACUCCUACGGGAGGCAGCAGUGAGGAAUAUUGGUCAAUGGACGAGAGUCUGAACCAGCCAAGUAGCGUGAAGGAUGACUGCCCUAUGGGUUGUAAACUUCUUUUAUACGGGAAUAAAGUGGAGUAUGCAUACUCCUUUGUAUGUACCGUAUGAAUAAGGAUCGGCUAACUCCGUG